Neofelis nebulosa (Clouded leopard) is the source of this 579-nucleotide long non-coding RNA. RefSeq lists it as uncharacterized. The record is from RefSeq and is a predicted model, not a curated record. The transcript is spliced from 3 exons. NCBI's taxonomy places the organism in Eukaryota, Metazoa, Chordata, Mammalia, Carnivora, Felidae.
UUGGGUCAAUAAUGAGAAUUCAUAUGGUCACGAACAGAGAUGAUGACUUAAAAAUUAUGCUCAAUAGGAUUCUGCAGAAGCCCAAUGGAGGCCAUUGCACUGAGGUACGAUCCUGGAGAAUCCUGUAGCUCUGGAUUACCACUGGACCCAGGGGCUCGAGGUGACAAAUCCCUCCAGGUUACCGAGCGGGUUCUUCUUGGUCUAUGGACCUCCACAUGCCUAAGACCUGCUCUGGCCCUGGGGUGUUGUGUGUCCAUCACUAGUGCUUCUCGACUCAUCCCUGGGAACCCAACUAAGCUCCCUCGGCAUCCUUGUGUCUUUCAGUGGGACGUCGCUUUGUGACCACUUUCUCGUCAUUGACCCCACCAUGGGAGGAGAGUGGAUGCCUGUAUCCCACACCCCGACCAAGAUCCCACCUGGCGCAUGGAGGGGAAUUUGGCCAAUCAUCUGGAACAGACCCCAAGCCAGGGGCUCUCAUGGCCACCAAAGACAUCACAUUCCAUUUCUGUGGGACGUCAUCUUGGCGACCAGGGUCUCACCAUUGAGCCCACCAUGGGAGGAAAGUGGAUGCCUGUGUGA